RNAcentral lists this ribosomal RNA (496 nucleotides) under uncultured bacterium. RNAcentral's name for it is "partial 16S ribosomal RNA". It matches the Rfam family "Bacterial small subunit ribosomal RNA", at positions 28 to 507 of the family's 1533-position model. The record is from RNAcentral.
GAUGAACGCUGGCGGCGUGCCUAAUACAUGCAAGUCGAGCGAACAGACGAGGAGCUUGCUCCUCUGACGUUAGCGGCGGACGGGUGAGUAACACGUGGAUAACCUACCUAUAAGACUGGGAUAACUUCGGGAAACCGGAGCUAAUACCGGAUAAUAUAUUGAACCGCAUGGUUCAAUAGUGAAAGACGGUUUUGCUGUCACUUAUAGAUGGAUCCGCGCCGCAUUAGCUAGUUGGUAAGGUAACGGCUUACCAAGGCGACGAUGCGUAGCCGACCUGAGAGGGUGAUCGGCCACACUGGAACUGAGACACGGUCCAGACUCUACGGGAGGCAGCAGUAGGGAAUCUUCCGCAAUGGGCGAAAGCCUGACGGAGCAACGCCGCGUGAGUGAUGAAGGUCUUCGGAUCGUAAAACUCUGUUAUUAGGGAAGAACAAAUGUGUAAGUAACUAUGCACGUCUUGACGGUACCUAAUCAGAAAGCCACGGCUAACUACGUG